CAGAUUUCGAUUGCGUACGCAUACGCCUCGCGAUAUUACACUGUAUGACGUCGGGGUGUCUGUAUCGUUGGGUGUACCGGUUAAUUUAAAGGCGGCGUUUUUACGACGAAACGAACGUCCGAAGUGCGUGCCGCCGUACCGACAGAGAAAAUAAAAAAUAAAAUGAAACAACGUGCAAAAUAAUAAUAAUUCGCAACGGCUGCAUUUA
Non-coding RNA from Cinara cedri, 208 nucleotides. Lineage: Eukaryota; Metazoa; Arthropoda; Insecta; Hemiptera; Aphididae. The record is from the annotation of a GenBank genome assembly.